Long non-coding RNA from Formica exsecta, 1035 nucleotides. RefSeq lists it as uncharacterized. The record is from RefSeq and is a predicted model, not a curated record. NCBI's taxonomy places the organism in Eukaryota, Metazoa, Arthropoda, Insecta, Hymenoptera, Formicidae. The transcript is spliced from 3 exons.
UAAUAUCGGGAGUGCCGACUUAAACAUCGUGUCGUUAUCGCAAAGUGUUAAAUAAUGUCGAAGCGUAGUCCAAUCGAGCAUCGGGAGUAUUAGAUUUUGAUGAUGAAUGUCGGAAUAAUCCGGCGACGACAAGCGUAUAAAUCUGCAUAUCGGAACGUGUCGCGAAUAUUAAUCCAAUGCUCCCGAGGAAUGUCGUUUUUCGAAAUCUCAACCCAAAUCAUCGAAUAGAUCGAGAGAUCUUCGCAUGGUGUUAAUUAAGAAAUGCCGACGCGCGUCUUCCUUCGACAUUGCUUUCACGAGCGUUUCUCUUAUCAGAGAAACGCUAGGCGACACAAUAAGACGGAAAUCUGCUGGAAGGAAGACGUCAUGGAUGGAAGGCAAGAGGAGAGUUUAUCUCGGAAAUAAAAGUACGAAUAAAUAAAACGGAGAACGAAUGCACGAAUGUUCGUACAUUAGCCUCCGCGAGAAUGCAUCCAAGGAUGCCAUACUCUUGGUUGCGUCCUUCGAUCAAGCGUAUGCAUAGAGAUCUAUGGAUAAAGACAUCGAGCAUAGAGAUGCAGAAAGUGUAUGGAUACUUUAGACACAUCGACAUUCUUUCCUCACCUCCCCUCCCCUGCCUUGCAAUACUUCACUGCUGUGUUUAUUUUUUUAUUAUGAAAGUCCUAAUUGAAAAUGCAAUAAUUUUUAAUGAUUAAUUUUAAGAUAUCUACGAAUUUUAUAAUCAUAUAUUAUCGAAUUUUCAUAGUUUGAUAUAAUGCAAAAAAAUCAUGCUUAAUACAAUAAAUUUCAUUCGUUAUUAGUGGAAAGAAGAUCUAAAAAGAUUUUUCCGUGAAAAAUACAAAUAUAAUACACAGUAUAAAAUUUUGUUAUUAUAACAAACUUAUUAUAAUAAAUAUUAUUAUUAAAUGUCUUUUCAUCAUGUCCACGAAAUAUUUUACGCAUUAUGUGUACGAUCUUUGAUGUUUUUCAACAUUUUUUGCUAAAAAGAAAAGAUUUUUAAAUAAUUAAAGAACCAAUAUUUAAAAUAUGGCAUAU